This 497-nucleotide ribosomal RNA is filed under the name uncultured bacterium. RNAcentral describes it as "partial 16S ribosomal RNA". It matches the Rfam family "Bacterial small subunit ribosomal RNA", at positions 28 to 507 of the family's 1533-position model. The record is from RNAcentral.
GAUGAACGCUGGCGUCGUGCCUAAUACAUGCAAGUCGAGCGAACGGACGAGAAGCUUGCUUUUCUGAUGUUAGCGGCGGACGGGUGAGUAACACGUGGAUAACCUACCUAUAAGACUGGGAUAACUUCGGGAAACCGGAGCUAAUACCGGAUAAUAUUUUGAACCGCAUGGUUCAAAAGUGAAAGACGGUCUUGCUGUCACUUAUAGAUGGAUCCGCGCUGCAUUAGCUAGUUGGUAAGGUAACGGCUUACCAAGGCAACGAUGCAUAGCCGACCUGAGAGGGUGAUCGGCCACACUGGAACUGAGACACGGUCCAGACUCCUACGGGAGGCAGCAGUAGGGAAUCUUCCGCAAUGGGCGAAAGCCUGACGGAGCAACGCCGCGUGAGUGAUGAAGGUCUUCGGAUCGUAAAGCUCUGUUAUUAGGGAAGAACAUAUGUGUAAGUAACUGUGCACAUCUUGACGGUACCUAAUCAGAAAGCCACGGCUAACUACGUG